UGGAAGGCUCUAGGGGAAUAAAGAUGGAAUGACUUCUAAUUUUUAGGUCCGUAUGAUUUGAAAUACUUGCACACAAACCACGCGAAAGCGUUCCUGGAAAUCUCAGCCCAAAAAAGGACGUUUAGUAAUUCUAAAAGGGACUACAGGAUGAAAAACAAUAGUUUUGGCAGUUAAAGUUUGAGAUUCGACAGUGCCGUAGAUCCGUUUGGUCAUCAGGUAUUACGAGCCACACCCAUGUCUAGCUAGAAUAGUGUGCUAGGCUCAGGCUAGAGAAGAAACGGGGAACAAACUGAUGAAAGAAUGAUCAAACCGAGGGAAUUCACUCAGAACUAACAAUAAUGAUAACGUGCUCCGACUGGUGCGGUUUAGGAACUGCUGGAAGGCUCUAGGGGAAUAAAGAUGGAAUGACUUCUAAUUUUUAGGUCCGUAUGAUUUGAAAUACUUGCACACAAACCGCGCGAAAGCGUUCCUGGAAAUCUCAGCCCAAAAAAGGACGUUUAGUAAUUUUAAAAGGGACUAUAGGAUGAAAAACAAUAGUUUUGGCAAUUAAAGUUUGAGAUUCGACGGUGUCGUAGAUCCGUUUGGUCAUCAGGUGUUACGAGCCACACCCAUGUCUAGCUAGAAUAGUAUGUCAGGCUCAGGUUAGAGUAGAAACGGGGAACAAACUGAUGAAAGAAUGAUCAUACCAAGGGAAUUCACUCAGAACUAUCAAGAAUGAUAACGUGCUCCGACUGGAGUGAUUUAGGAACUGCUGGAAGGCUCUAGGGGAAUAAAGAUGGAAUGACUUCUAAUUUUUACGUCCGUAUGAUUUGAAAUACUUGCACACAAAUCACGCAAAAGCGUUCCUGGAAAUCUCAGCCUAAAAAAGGACGUUUAGUAAUUCUAAAAGGGACUACAGGAUGAAAAACAAUAGUUUGGGCAGUUAAAAUUUGAGAUUCGACGGUGCCGUAGAUCCGUUUGGUCAUCAGGUGUUACGAGCGACACCCUUGUCUAGCUAGAAUAGUGUGUUAGGCUCAGACUAGAGAAGAAACGGGGAACAAAGUGAUGAAAGAAUGAUCAUACCGAGGGAAUUCACUCAGAACUAACAAGAAUGAUAACGUGCUCCGACUGGAGCGGUUUAGUAACUGCUGGAAGGCUCUAGGGGAAUGAAGAUGGAAUGACUUCUAAUUUUUAGGUCCGUAUGAUUUGAAAUACAUGCACACAAACCCUGAGAAAGCGUUCCUGGAAAUCUCGGUCGAAAAAAGGAUGUUUAAUAAUUCUAAAAGGGACUACCGGAUGAAAAACAAUAGUUUUGGCAGUUAAAGUUUGUGAUUCGAUGGUGCCGUAGAUCUGUUUGGUCAUCAGGUGUUACGAGCCACACCCAUGUCUAUCUAGAAUAGUGUGUUAGGCUCAGGCUAGAGCAGAAACGGGGAACAGACUUAUGAAAGAAUGAUCAUACCGAGGGAAUUCACUCAGAACUAACAAGAAUGAUAACGUGCUCCGACUGGCGCGGUUUAGGAACUGCUGGAAGGCUCUAGGGGAAUAAAGAUGGAAAGACUUCUAAUUUUUAGGUCCGUAUGAUUUGAAAUACUUGCACACAAACCGCACGAAAGCGUUCCUGGAAAUCUCAGCCUAAAAAGGAUGUUUAGUAAUUCUAAAAGGGACUACAAGAUGAAAAAUAAUAGUUUGGGCAGUUAAAAUUUGAGAUUCGACGAUGCCGUAGAUCCGUUUGGUCAUCAGGUGUUAUGAGCCACACCCAUGUCUAGCUAGAAUAGUGUGUUAGGCUCAGGCUAGAGAAGAAACGGGGAACAAACUGAUGAAAGAAUGAUCAUACCGAGGGAAUUCACUCAGAACUAACAAGAAUGAUAACGUGCUCCGACUGGAGCAGUUUAGAAACUGCUGGAAGGCUCUAAUGGAAUAAAGAUGGAAUGCCUUCAAAUUUCUAGGUCCGUAUGAUUUGAAAUACUUGCACACAAACCGCUCGAAAGCGUUCCUGGAAAUCUCAGCCCAAAAAAGGACGUUUAGUAAUUCUAAAAGGGACUACAGGAUGAAAAACAAUAGUUUUGGCAGUUAAAGUUUGAGAUUCGAUGGUGCCGUAGAUCCGUUUGGUCAUCAGGUGUAACGAGCCACACACAUGUCUAGCUAGAGUAGUGUGCUAGGCUCAGACUAGAGAAGAAACGGGGAACAAAGUGAUGAAAGAAUGAUCAUACCGAGGGAAUUCACUCAGAACUUACAAGAAUGAUAACGUGCUCCGACUGGAGCGCUUUAGUAACUGCUGGAAGGCUCUAGGCGAAUAAAGAUGGAAUGACUUCUAAUUUUUAGGUCCGUAUGAUUUGAAAUACUUGCACACAAACCACGCAAAACCGUUCCUAGAAAUCUCGGUCGAAAAAAGGACGUUUAGUAAUUCUAAAAGGGACUACAGGAUGAAAAACAAUAGUUUUGGCAGUUAAAGUUUGAGAUUCGAUGGUGCCGUAGAUCCGUUUGGUCAUCAGGUGUUACGAGCCACACCCAUGUCUAGCUAGAGUAGUGUGCUAGGUUCAGACUAGAGAAGAAACGGGGAACAAAGUGAUUAAAGAAUGAUCAUACCGAGGGAAUUCACUCAGAACUAACAAGAAUGAUAACGUGCUCCGACUGGAGCGGUUUAGGAACUGCUGGAAGGCUCUAGGGGAAUAAAGAUGGAAUGACUUCUAAUUUUUACGUCCGUAUGAUUUGAAAUACAUGCACACAAACCACGCAAAAGCGUUCCUGGAAAUCUCAGCCUAAAAAAGGACGUUUAGUAAUUCUAAAAGGGACUACAGGAUGAAAAAUAAUAGUUUGGGCAGUUAAAAUUUGAGAUUCGACGCUGCCGUAGAUCCGUUUGGUCAUCAGGUCUUACGAGCCACACCCAUGUCUAGCUAGAAUAGUGUGUUAGGCUCAGGCUAGAGAAGAAACGGGGAACAAACUGAUGAAAGAAUGAUCAUACCGAGGGAAUUCACUCAGAACUAACAAGAAUGAUAACGUGCUCCGACUGGAGCAGUUUAGAAACUCCUGGAAGGCUCUAGGGGAAUAAAGAUGGAAUGACUUCAAAGUUUUAGGUCCGUAUGAUUUGAAAUACUUGCACACAAACCGCGUGAAAGCGUUCCUGGAAAUCUCAACCCAAAAAAGGGCGUUUAGUAAUUCUAAAAGGGACUACAGGAUGUAAAACAAUAGUUUUGGCAGUUAAAGUUUGAGAUUCGAUGGUGCCGUAGAUCCGUUUGGUCAUCAGGUGUAACGAGCCACACCCAUGUCUAGCUAGAGUAGUGUGCUAGGCUCAGACUAGAGAAGAAACGGGGAACAAAGUGAUGAAAGAAUGAUCAUACCGAGGGAAUUCACUCAUAACUAACAAGAAUGAUAACGUGCUCUGACUUGAGCGGUUUAGGAACUGCUGGAAGGCUAUAGGGGAAUAAAGAUGGAAUGACUUCAAAUUUUUAGGUCCGUAUGAUCUGAAAUACUUGCACACAAACCGCGAGAAAGCGUUCCUGGAAAUCUCAACCCAAAAAAGGACGUUUAGUAAUUCUAAAAGGGACUACAGGAUGAAAAACAAUAGUUCUGGCAGUUAUUGUUUGAGAUUCGAUAAUCUCGUAGAUCCGUUUGGUCAUCAGGUGUAACGAGCCACACCCAUGUCUAGCUAGAGUAGUGUGCUAGGCUCAGACUAGAGAAGAAACGGGGAACAAACUGAUGAAAGAAUGAUCAUACCGAGGGAAUUCACUUAGAACUAACAAGAAUGAUAACGUGCUCCGACUGGAGCGGUUUAGGAACUGCUGGAAGGCUCUAGGGGAAUAAAGAAGGAACGACUUCUAAUUUUUAGGUCCGUAUGAUUUGAAAUAUGUGCACACAAACCACGAGAAAGCGUUCCUAGAAAUCUCGGCCCAAAAGAGGACGUUUAGUAUUCUAAAAGGGACUACAGAAUGAAAAACAAUAGUUUUGGCAGUUAAAGUUUGAGAUUUGACGGUGCCGUAGAUCUGUUUGGUCAUCAGGGGUUACGAGCCACACCCAUGUCUAGCUAGAAUAGUGUGUUAGGCUCAGGCUAGAAAAGAAACGGGGAACAAAGUGAUGAAAGAAUGAUCAUACCGAGGGAAUUCACUCAGAACUAACAAGAAUGAUAACAUGCUCCGACUGGAGCGGUUUAGGAACUGCUGGAAGGCUCUAGGGGAAUAAAGAUGGAAUGACUUCUAAUUUUUAGGUCCGUAUGAUUUGAAAUACUUGCACACAAACCGCGCGAAAGCGUUCCUGGAAAUCUCAGCCCAAAAAAGGACGUUUAGUAAUUCUAAAAGGGACUACAGGAUGAAAAACAAUAGUUUUGGCAGUUAAAGUAUGAGAUUCAACGGUGCCGUAGAUCCGUUUGGUCAUUAGGUGUUACGAGCCACACCCAUGUCUAGCUAGAAUAGUGUGCUAGGCUCAGGCUAGAGAAGAAACGGGGAACAAACUGAUGAAAGAAUGAUCAAACCGAGGGAAUUCACUCAGAACUAACAAUAAUGAUAACGUGCUCCGACUGGAGCGGUUUAGGAACUGCUGGAAGUCUCUAGGGGAAUAAAGAUGGAAUGACUUCUAAUUUUUACGUUCGUAUGAUUUGAAAAACUUGCCCAUAAACCGCGCGAAAGUGUUCCUGGAAAUCUCAGCCCAAAAAAGGACGUUUAGUAAUUUUAAAAGGGACUACACGAUGAAAAACAAUAGUUUUGGCAGGUAAAGUUUGAGAUUCGACAGUGCCGUAGAUCCGUUUGGUCAUCAGGUGUUACGAGCCACACCCAUGUCUAGCUAGAAUAGUAUGUUACGCUCAGGUUAGAGAAGAAACGGGGAACAAACUGAUGAAAGAUGAUCAUACCAAGGGAAUUCACUCAGAACUAACAAGAAUGAUAACGUGCUCCGACUGGAGCGGUUUAGGAACUGCUGGAAGGCUCUAGGGGAAUAAAGAUGGAAUGACUUCUAAUUUUUACGUCUGUAUGAUUUGAAAUACUUGCACACAAACAACGCAAAAGCAUUCCUGGAAAUCUCAUCCUAAAAAAGGACGUUUAGUAAUUCUAAAAGGGACUACAGGAUGAAAAAUAAUAGUUUGGGAAGUUAAAAUUUGAGAUUCGAUAGUGCCGUAGAUCCGUUUGGUCAUCAGGUGUUAGGAGCCACACCCAUGUCUAGCUAGAAUAGUGUGUUAGGCUCAGGCUAGAGAAGAAACAGGGAACAAACUGAUGAAAGAAUGAUCAUACCGAGGGAAUUCACUCAGAACUAGCAAGAAUGAUAACGUGCUCCGACUGGAGCAGUUUUGAAACUGCUGGAAGGCUCUAGGGGAAUAAUGAUGGAAUGACUUCUAAGUUUUUGGUCCGUAUGAUUUGAAAUACGUGCACACAAACCCAGAGAAAGUGUUCUUGGAAAUCUCGGCCGAAAAAAGGAUGUUUAAUAAUUCUAAAAGGGACUACAGGAUGAAAAACAAUAGUUUUGGCAGUUAAAGUUUGUGAUUCGAUGGUGCUGUAGAUCUGUUUGGUCAUCAGGUGUUAUGAGCCACACCCAUGUCUAGCUAGAACAGUGUGUUAGGCUCAGGCUAGAGCAGAAACGGGGAACAAACUUAUGAAAGAAUGAUCAUACCGAGGGAAUUCACUCAGAACUAACAAGAAUGAUAACGUGCUCCGACUGGAGAGGUUUAGGAACUGCUGGAAGGCUCUAGGGGAAUAAAGAUGGAAUGACUUCAAAUUUUUAGGUCUGUAUGAUCUGAAAUACUUGCACACAAACCGCGAGAAAGCGUUCCUGGAAAUCUCAGCCCAAAAAAGGACGUUUAGUGAUUCUAAAAGGGACUACGGGAUAAAAAACAAUAGUUUUGGCAGUUAAAGUUUGAGAUUCGAUAAUGCCGUAGAUCCGUUUGGUCAUCAGGUGUAACGAGCCACACCCAUGUCUAGCUAGAGUAGUGUGCUAGGCUCAUACUAGAGAAGAAAUGGGGAACAAACUGAUGAAAGAAUGAUCAUACCGAGGGAGUUCACUCAAAACUAACAUGAAUGAUAACGUGCUCCGACUGGAGCGGUUUAGGAACUGCUGGAAGGCUCUAGGGGAAUAAAGAUGGAAUGACUUCUAAUUUUUAGGUCCGUAUGAUUUGAAAUACAUGCACACAAACCCCAAGAAAGCGUUCCUGGAAAUCUCGCCCCGAAAAACGACGUUUAGUAAUUCUAAAAGGGACUAUAGGAUGAAAAACAAUAGUUUUGGCAGUUAAAGUUUGAGAUUUGACGGUGCCGUAGAUCUGUUUGGUCAUCAGGUGUUACGAGCCACACCCAUUUCUAGCUAGAAUAGUGUGUUAGGCUCAGGCUAGAAAAGAAACGGGGAACAAAGUGAUGAAAGAAUGAUCAUACCGAGGGAAUUCACUCAGAACUAACAAGAAUGAUAACAUGGUCCGACUGGAGCGGUUUAGGAACUGCUGGAAGGCUCUAGGGGAAUAAAGAUGGAAUGACUUCUAACUUUUAGGUCCGUAUGAUUUGAAUUACUUGCACACAAACCGCGCGAAAGCGUUCCUGGAAAUCUCAGCCCAAAAAAGGACGUUUAGUAAUUCUAAAAGGGACUACAGGAUGAAAAACAAUAGUUUUGGCAGUUAAAGUUUGAGAUUCGACGGUGCCGUAGAUCCGUUUGGUCAGCAGGUGUUACGAGCCACACCCAUGUCUAGCUAGAGUAGUGUGCUAGGUUCAGACUAGAGAAGAAAUGUUGGGGAACGUAGCAGAAAUUCAAAAUUUUCCUACGUGUCACCAAGAUCUAUCUAUGGAGAGACUAGCAACGAGGGAAGGAGAGUGCAUCUACAUACCCUUGUAGAUCGCUAAGCGGAAGCGUUCAAGUGAACGGGGUUGAUGGAGUCGUACUCGUCGUGAUUCAGCUCACCGAUGAUCCUAGUGCCGAACGGACGGCACCUCCGCGUUCAACACACGUACAGCUCGACGAUGUCUCCCACGCCUUGAUCCAGCAAGGAGAGAGGGAGAGGUUGAGGAAGACUCCAUCCAGCAGAAGCACAACGGCGUGGUGGUGAUGGAGGAGCAUGGCAAUCCUGCAGGGCUUCGCCAAGCACCUAUGGGAGAGGAGGAGGUGUCACGGGAGGGAGGGAGGCGCCAAGGGCUCAGGUAUAGAUGCCCUCCCUCCCCUCCACUAUAUAUAGGGGCAAGGGAGAGGGGGGAGGCGCAGCCUUGCCCCUUCCUCCAAGGAAGGGGUGCGGCUAAGAGGGGGGGAGGAGUCCAUCCUCCCCAAGGCACCUCGGAGGUGCCUUCCCCCUUUAGGACUCUCCCCUUUUUCCUAUAUCUUGGCGCAUGGGCCUCUAGGGGCUGGUUCCCUUGGCCCAUGUAGGCCCAGGCGCACCCCCUACAGCCCAUGUGGCCCCCCGGGGCAGGUGGCCCCACCUGGUGGGCCCCCGGGACCCUUCCGGUGGUCCCGGUACAAUACCGAUGACCCCGAAACUUGUCCCGAUGGCCGAAACAGGACUUCCUAUAUAUAAAUCUUUACCUCCGGACAAUUCCGGAACUCCUCGUGACGUCCGGGAUCUCAUCCGGGACUCCGAACAACAUUCGGUAACCACAUACAAACUUCCUUUAUAACCCUAGCGUCAUCGAACCUUAAGUGUGUAGACCCUACGGGUUCGGGAGACAUGUAGUCAUGACCGAGAUGUUCUCCGGUCAAUAACCAACAGCGGGAUCUGGAUACCCAUGUUGGCUCCCACAUGUUCCACGAUGAUCUCAUCGGAUGAACCACGAUGUCAAGGACUCAAUCAAUCCCGUAUACAAUUCCCUUUGUCUAGCGGUAUGGUACUUGCCCGAGAUUCGAUCGUCGGUAUACCGAUACCUUGUUCAAUCUCGUUACCGGCAAGUCUCUUUACUCAUUUCGUAACACAUCAUCCCGUGAUCAACCCCUUGGUCACAUUGUGCACAUUAUGAUGAUGUCCUACCGAGUGGGCCCAGAGAUACCUCUCCGUUUACACGGAGUGACAAAAUCCCAAUCUCGAUUCGUGCCAACCCAACAGACACUUUCAGAGAUACCCGUAGUGUACCUUUACAGCCACCCAGUUACGUUGUGACGUUUGGCACACCCAAAGCACUCCUACAGUAUCCGGGAGUUGCACAAUCUCAUGGUCUAAGGAAAUGAUACUUGACAUUAGAAAAGCUUUAGCAUACGAACUACAUGAUCUUGUGCUAGGCUUAGGAUUGGGUCUUGUCCAUCACAUCAUUCUCCUAAUGAUGUGAUCCCGUUAUCAACGACAUCCAAUGUCCAUGGUCAGGAAACCGUAACCAUCUAUUGAUUAACGAGCUAGUCAACUAGAGGCUUACUAGGGACAUGGUGUUGUCUAUGUAUCCACACAUGUAUCUAAGUUUCCUAUCAAUACAAUUCUAGCAUGGAUAAUAAACGAUUAUCAUGAACAAGGAAAUAUAAUAAUAAUCAAUUUAUUAUUGCCUCUAGGGCAUAUUUCCAACAGUCUCCCACUUGCACUAGAGUCAAUAAUCUAGUUCACAUCGAUAUGUGAUUAACACUCAAGGUCACAUUCCCAUGUGACUAACACCCAAGAGUUUACUAGAGUCAAUAAUCUAGUUCACAUUUACCAUGUGAUUAACACUUGAUGAGUUCUGGGUUUGAUCAUGUUAUGCUUGUGAGAGAGGUUAUAGUCAACGGGUCUGAACCUUUCAGAUCCGUGUGUGCUUUACAAAUCUCUAUGUCAUCUCCUAGAUGCAGCUACCACGUUCUAUUUGGAGCUAUUCCAAAUAACUGUUCUACUUGGAGCUAUUCUAAAUUGUUGCUCCAUUAUACGUAUCCGGUAUCUCUACUCAGAGCUAUCCGGAUAGGUGUUAAGCUUGCAUCGACGUAACCCUUUACGACGAACUCUUUUACCACCUCCAUAAUUGAGAAAAUUCCUUAGUCCACUAGUUACUAAGGAUAACUUUGACCGCUGUCCUGUGAUCCAUUCUUGGAUCACUCUUGUACCCCUUGACUGACUCAUGGUAAAGCACACUUCAGGUGCGGUACACAGCAUAGCAUACUGUAGAGCCUAUGUCUUAAGCAUAGGGGACGACCUUCGUUCCUUUCUCUCUAUUCUGCCAUGGUCGAGCUUUAAGUCUUAACUUCAUACCUUACAACUCAGGCAAGAACUCCUUCUUUGACUGAUCCAUCUUGAACACCUUCAAGAUCACGUCAAGGCAUGUGCUCACGUCAAGAUCACGUCGGUAUACCGAUACCUUGUUCAAUCUCGUUACCGGCAAGUCUCUUUACUCGUUCCGUAACACAUCAUCCCGUGAUCAACCCCUUGGUCACAUUGUGCACAUUAUGAUGAUGUCCUACCGAGUGGGCCCAGAGAUACCUCUCCGUUUACACGGAGUGACAAAAUCCCAAUCUCGAUUCGUGCCAACCCAACAGACACUUUCAGAGAUACCCGUAGUGUACCUUUAUAGCCACCCAGUUACGUUGUGACGUUUGGCACACCCAAAGCACUCCUACGGUAUCCGGGAGUUGCACAAUCUCAUGGUCUAAGGAAAUGAUACUUGACAUUAGAAAAGCUUUAGCAUACGAACUACAUGAUCUUGUGCUAGGCUUAGGAUUGGGUCUUGUCCAUCACAUCAUUCUCCUAAUGAUGUGAUCCCGUUAUCAACGACAUCCAAUGUCCAUGGUCAGGAAACCGUAACCAUCUAUUGAUUAACGAGCCAGUCAACUAGAGGCUUACUAGGGACAUGGUGUUGUCUAUGUAUCCACACAUGUAUCUGAGUUUCCUAUCAAUACAAUUCUAGCAUGGAUAAUAAACGAUUAUCAUGAACAAGGAAAUAUAAUAAUAAUCAAUUUAUUAUUGCCUCUAGGGCAUAUUUCCAACAGUCUCCCACUUGCACUAGAGUCAAUAAUCUAGUUCACAUCACCAUGUGAUUAACACUGACAGGUCACAUCACCAUGUGACCAACAUCCAAAGAGUCUUGGGUUUGAUCAUGUUGCUUGUGAGAGAGGUUAUAGUCAACGGGUCUGAACCUUUCAGAUCCGUGUGUGCUUUACAAAUCUCUAUGUCAUCUCCUAGAUGCAGCUACCACGUUCUAUUUGGAGCUAUUCCAAAUAACUGUUCUACUUGGAGCUAUUCUAAAUUGUUGCUCCAUUAUACGUAUCCGGUAUCUCUACUCAGAGCUAUCCGGAUAGGUGUUAAGCUUGCAUCGACGUAACCCUUUACGACGAACUCUUUUACCACCUCCAUAAUUGAGAAAAUUCCUUAGUCCACUAGUUACUAAGGAUAACUUUGACCGCUGUCCUGCGAUCCAUUCUUGGAUCACCCUUGUACCCCUUGACUGACUCAUGGUAAAGCACACUUCAGGUGCGGUACACAGCAUAGCAUACUGUAGAGCCUAUGUCUUAAGCAUAGGGGAUGACCUUCGUUCCUUUCUCUCUAUUCUGCCAUGGUCGAGCUUUAAGUCUUAACUUCAUACCUUACAACUCAGGCAAGAACUCCUUCUUUGACUGGUCCAUCUUGAACACCUUCAAGAUCAUGUCAAGGUAUGUGCUCAUUUGAAAGUACUAUUAAGCGUUUUGAUCUAUCCUUAUAGAUCUUGAUGCUCAAUGUUCAAGUAGCUUAAUCCAGGUUUUCCAUUGAAAACACUUUCCAAAUAACCCUAUAUGCUUUCCAGAAAUUCUACGUCAUUUCUGAUCAUUAAUAUGUCAACAACAUAUAAUCAUCAGAAAUUCUAUAGUGCUCCCACUCACUUCUUUGGAAAUACAAGUUUCUCAUAAACUUUGUAUACACCCAAAAUCUUUGAUCAUCAUCAAAGCAUACAUUCCAACUCCGAGAUGCUCACUCCAGUCCUCAGAAGGAUUGCUGGAGCUUUGCAUACUUAUUAGCAUAUUUCAGGAUAGACAAAACCUUCCAGUUGUAUCACAUACAACCUUUCCUCAAGAAUCGUCGACGAAACAAUGUUUUGACAUCCUAUCUGCAAGAUUUCAUAAAUAAUGCAGUAAUUGUUAAUAUAAUUCCAACAGACUCUUAGCAUCGCUACGAGUGAGAAAGUCUCAUUGUAGUCAACUCCUUGAACUUGUCAAAAAACAUCUUAACGACAAGUCGAGCUUUCUCAAUGGUGACACUUACCAUCAUUGUCUGUCUUCCUUUCAAAAUCCAUAUGUACCUAACAGCCUUACGACCAUCAAGUAGUUCUUCCAAAGUCUACACUUUGUUUUCAUACAUGGAUCCUCUCUCGGGUUUUAUGGCCAUGAGCCAUUUAUCGGAAUCCGGGCCCACCAUUGCUUCUCCAUAGCUCGUAGGUUCAUUGUUGUCUAGCAACAUGACUUCCAAGACAGGAUUACUGUACCACUCUGAAGUAGUACGUAUCCUUGUCACCCUACGAGGUUUGGGAGUGACUUGAUCUGAAGUUUCAUGAUCACUAUCAUAAGCUUCUACUUCAAUUGGUGUAGGUGCCACAGGAACAACUUCCUGUGCCCUGCUACACACUGGUUGAAGUGAUGGUUCAAUAACCUCAUCAAGUCUCCACCAUCCUCCCACUCAAUUCUUUCGAGAGAAACCUUUCCUCGAGAAAGGACCCAAUUCUAGAAACAAUUCAUAUUGCUUUCGGAUCUGAAUUAGGAAGUAUACCCAACUGUUUUGGGUGUCCUAUGAAGAUGUACUUUAUCCGCUUUGGUUUCGAGCUUAAUCCUGAAACUUUUUCACAUAAGUGUCGCAGCCCCAAACCUUUAAGAAACGACAACUUAGGUUUCUCUAAACCAUAAUUCAUACGGUGUCAUCUCAUCGGAAUUACGUGGUGCCCUAUUUAAAGUGAAUGUGGUUGUCUUUAAUGCCUAACCCAUAAACUAUCGUGGCAGUUCGAUAAGAGACAUCAUGGUAUGCAUCAUAUCCAAUAGGGUGCAACUAUGAUGUUCGGACACACCAUCACACUAUGGUGUUCCAGGCGGUAUUAAUUGUGAAACAAUUUCCACAAUGUCUUAAUUGUGUGCCAAAACUCGUAACUCAGAUACUCAUCUCUAUGAUCAUAUCAUAGACAUUUUAUCCUCUUGUCACAAUGAUCUUCUACUUCACUCUGAAAUUACUUGAACCAUUCAACAAUUCAGACUUGUGUUUCAUCAAGUAAAUAUUCUCAACAUCUACUCGAAUCAUCUGUGAAGUAAGAACAUAACGAUAUUCACUGCAUGCCUCAGCACUCAUUGGACUGCACACAUCAAAAUGUGUUACUUCCAACAAGUUGCUAUCUUGUUCCAUCUUACUGAAAACGAGGCUUUUCAGUCAUCUUGCCCAUGUGGUAUGAUUUGCAUGUCCCAAGUGAUUCAAAAAUCAAGUGAGUCAAAACGGUCCAUUUGCAUGGAGUUUCUUCAUGCAUAUACACCAAUAGACAUGGUUCGCAUGUCUCAAACUUUUCAAAAACGAGUGAGCCCAAAGAUCCAUCAAUAUGGAGCUUCUUCAUGCGUUUUAUACCGAUAUGACUUACGUGGUAGUGCCACAAGUAGGUGGUACUAUCAUUACUAUCUUUUGGCAUGAACAUGUGUAUCACUACGAUCGAGAUUUAAUAAACCAUUCAUUUUAGGUGUAAGACCAUUGAAGGUAUUAUUCAAAUAAACAGAGUAACCAUUAUUCUCCUUAAAUGAAUAACCGUAUUGCGAUAGACGUAAUCCAAUCAUGUCUAUGCUCAACGCAAACACCAAAUAACAAUUAUUUAGGUUUAACACCAAUCUCUUUGGUAGAGGGAGCGUGCGAUGCUUGAUCAUAUCAAGCAUGGAAAAACUUACAACACAUAUCGUCAGCUCACCUUUAGCUAGUCUCUGUUUAUUCCGUAGCCUUUUGUUUCGAGUUACUAACACUUAGCAACCGAACUGGUAUCUAAUACCCUGGUGCUACUAGGAGUACUAGCAAAGUACACAUUAACACAAUGUAUAUCCAAUAUACUUCUAUCGACCUUGCCAGCCUUCUUAUCUACCAAGUAUCUAGGGUAAUUCUGCUCUAGUAGUUGUUCCCCUUAUUACAGAAGCACUUAGUCUCGGGUUUGGGUUUUACCUUGGGUUUCUUCACUAGAGCAGCAGCUGAUUUGCCGUUUCAUGAAGUAUCCCUUCUUGCCCUUGCCCUUCUUGAAACUAGUGGUUCCACCAACCAUCAACAAUUGAUGCUCCUUCUUGAUUUCUACUUUCGCGGUGUCAAACAUCGCGAAUACCUCAAGGAUCAUCAUAUCUAUCCCUGAUAUGUUAUAGUUCAUCAUGAAGCUCUAACAGCUUGGUGGCAAUGACUUUGGAGAACCAUCACUAUCUCAUCUGGAAGAUCAACUCCCACUCGAUUCAAGCGAUUGUUGUACUCAGACAAUCUGAGCACAAGCUCAACGAUUGAGCUUUUCUCCCUUAGUUUGCAGGUUAAGAAAGUCAUCGGAGGUCUUAUACCUCUUGACAUGGGCACGAGCCUGAAAUCCCAAUUUCAGCCCUCAAAACAUCUCAUAUGUUUCGCGAUGUUUCAAAAACGUCUUUGGUGCCUCAACUCUAAACCGUUUAACUGAACUAUCACGUAGUUAUCAAAACGUGUAUGUCAGAUGUUCGCAACAACCACAGACAACGUUCGAGGUUCAGCACACUGAGCGGUGCAUUAAGGACAUAAGCCUUCUAUGAAGCAAUGAGGACAAUCCUCAGUUUACGGACCUAGUCCGCAUAAUUGCUACUAUCAACUUUCAACUAAUUUUUCUCUAGGAACAUAUCUAAACAGUAGAACUAUAGCGUGAGCUACGACAUAAUUUGCAAAAACCUUUUGACUAUGUUCAGGAUAAUUAAGUUCAUCUUAUGAACUCCCACUCAGAUAGACAUCCCUCUAGUCAUCUAAGUGAUUACAUGAUCCGAGUCAAACUAGGCCGUGUCCGAUCAUCACGUGAGACGGACUAGUCAUCAUCGGUGAACAUCUUCAUGUUGAUCGUAUCUUCUAUACGACUCAUGUUCGACCUUUCGGUCUUCGUGUUCCGAGGCCAUGUAUGUACAUGCUAGGCUCGUCAAGUUAACCCUAAGUGUUUCGCGUGUGUAAAUCUGUCUUACACCCGUUGUAUGUGAACGUUAGAAUCUAACACCCGAUCAUCACGUGGUGCUUCGAAACACGAACUGUCGCAACGGUGCACAGUUAGGGGAGAACACUUCUUGAAAUUGUUGUAAGGGAUCAUCUUAUUUACUACCGUCGUUCUAAGCAAAUAAGAUGUAUAAACAUGAUAAACAUCACAUGCAAUCAAAUAGUGACAUGAUAUGGCCAUCAUCACUUUGCUCCUUUUGAUCUCCAUCUUCGGGGCUCCAUGAUCAUCAUCGUCACCGGCAUGACACCAUGAUCUCCAUCAUCAUGAUCUCCAUCAUCGUGUCUUCAUGAAGUUGCCUCGCCAACUAUUACUUCUACUACUAUGGCUAACGGUUAGCAAUAAAGUAAAGUAAUUACAUGACGUUUAAGUUGACACGCAGGUCACAAAUGAAUAAAGACAACUCCUAUGGCUCCUGCCGGUUGUCAUACUCAUCGACAUGCAAGUCGUGAUUCCUAUUACAAGAACAUGAUCAAUCUCAUACAUCACAUAUAUCAUUCAUCACAUCCUUUUUGGCCAUAUCACAUCACAUAGCAUACCCUGCAAAAACAAGUUAGACGUCCUCUAAUUGUUGUUUGCAUGUUUUACGUGGCUGCUAUGGGUUUCUAGCAAGAACGUUUCUUACCUACGCAUGAACAACAACGUGAUAUGCCAAUUGCUAUUUACCCUUCAUAAGGACCCUUUUCAUCGAAUCCGAUCCGACUAAAGUGGGAGAGACAGACACCCGCCAGCCACCUUAUGCAACUAGUGCAUGUUUGUCGGUGGAACCGGUCUCACGUAAGCGUACGUGUAAGGUUGGUCCGGGCCGCUUCAUCCCACGAUGCCGCCGAAUCAAGAUAAGACUAGUAACGGCAAGCAUAUUGAACAAUAUCAACGCCCACAACUACUUUGUGUUCUACUCGUGCAAAGAAUCUACGCAAUAGACCUAGCUCAUGAUGCCACUGUUGGGGAACGUAGCAGAAAUUCAAAAUUUUCCUACGUGUCACCAAGAUCUAUCUAUGGAGAUACUAGCAACGAGGGAAGGAGAGUGCAUCUACAUACCCUUGUAGAUCGCUAAGCGGAAGCGUUCAAGUGAACGGGGUUGAUGGAGUCGUACUCGUCGUGAUUCAGAUCACCGAUGAUCCUAGUGCCGAACGGACGGCACCUCCGCGUUCAACACACGUACAGCUCGACGAUGUCUCCCACGCCUUGAUCCAGCAAGGAGAGAGGGAGAGGUUGAGGAAGACUCCAUCCAGCAGCAGCACAACGGCGUGGUGGUGAUGGAGGAGCGUGGCAAUCCUGCAGGGCUUCGCCAAGCACCUACGGGAGAGGAGGAGGUGUCACGGGAGGGAGGGAGGCGCCAAGGGCUCAGGUAUAGAUGCCCUCCCUCCCCUCCACUAUAUAUAGGGGCAAGGGAGAGGGGGAGGCGCAUCCUUGCCCCUUCCUCCAAGGAAGGGGUGCGGCUAAGAGGGGGGGAGGAGUCCAUCCUCCCCAAGGCACCUCGGAGGUGCCUUCCCCCUUUAGGACUCUCCCCUUUUUCCUAUAUCUUGGCGCAUGGGCCUCUAGGGGCUGGUGCCCUUGGCCCAUGUAGGCCAAGGCGCACCCCCCUACAGCCCAUGUGGCCCCCCGGGGCAGGUGGCCCCACCCGGUGGGCCCCCGGGACCCUUCCGGUGGUCCCGGUACAAUACCGAUGACCCCGAAACUUGUCCCGAUGGCCGAAACAGGACUUCCUAUAUAUAAAUCUUUACCUCCGGACCAUUCCGGAACUCCUCGUGACGUCCGGGAUCUCAUCCGGGACUCCGAACAACAUUCGGUAACCACAUACAAACUUCCUUUAUAACCCUAGCGUCAUCGAACCUUAAGUGUGUAGACCCUACGGGUUCGGGAGACAUGUAGUCAUGACCGAGAUGUUCUCCGGUCAAUAACCAACAGCGGGAUCUGGAUACCCAUGUUGGCUCGCACAUGUUCCACGAUGAUCUCAUCGGAUGAACCACGAUGUCAAGGACUCAAUCAAUCCCGUAUACAAUUCCCUUUGUCUAGCGGUAUGGUACUUGCCCGAGAUUCGAUCGUCGGUAUACCGAUACCUUGUUCAAUCUCGUUACCGGCAAGCCUCUUUACUCGUUCCGUAACACAUCAUCCCGUGAUCAACCCCUUGGUCACAUUGUGCACAUUAUGAUGAUGUCCUACCGAGUGGGCCCAGAGAUACCUCUCCGUUUACACGGAGUGACAAAAUCCCAAUCUCGAUUCGUGCCAACCCAACAGACACUUUCAGAGAUACCCGUAGUGUACCUUUAUAGCCACCCAGUUACGUUGUGACGUUUGGCACACCCAAAGCACUCCUACGGUAUCCGGGAGUUGCACAAUCUCAUGGUCUAAGGAAAUGAUACUUGACAUUAGAAAAGCUUUAGCAUACGAACUACAUGAUCUUGUGCUAGGCUUAGNNNNNNNNNNUGAUCAACCCCUUGGUCACAUUGUGCACAUUAUGAUGAUGUCCUACCGAGUGGGCCCAGAGAUACCUCUCCGUUUACACGGAGUGACAAAAUCCCAAUCUCGAUUCGUGCCAACCCAACAGACAUUUUCAGAGAUACCCGUAGUGUACCUUUAUAGCCACCCAGUUACGUUGUGACGUUUGGCACACCCAAAGCACUCCUACGGUAUCCGGGAGUUGCACAAUCUCAUGGUCUAAGGAAAUGAUACUUGACAUUAGAAAAGCUUUAGCAUACGAACUACAUGAUCUUGUGCUAGGCUUAGGAUUGGGUCUUGUCCAUCACAUCAUUCUCCUAAUGAUGUGAUCCCGUUAUCAACGACAUCCAAUGUCCAUGGUCAGGAAACCGUAACCAUCUAUUGAUUAACGAGCUAGUCAACUAGAGGCUUACUAGGGACAUGGUGUUGUCUAUGUAUCCACACAUGUAUCUGAGUUUCCUAUCAAUACAAUUCUAGCAUGGAUAAUAAACGAUUAUCAUGAACAAGGAAAUAUAAUAAUAAUCAAUUUAUUAUUGCCUCUAGGGCAUAUUUCCAACAAGAAACGGGGAACAAACUGAUGAAAGAAUGAUCAUACCGAGGGAAUUCACUCAGAACUAACAAGAAUGAUAACGUGCUUUGACUGGAGCGGUUUAAAAACUGCUGGAAGGCUCUAGGGGAAUAAAGAUGGAAUGCCUUCAAAUUUCUAGGUCCGUAUGAUUUGAAAUACUUGCACACAAACCGCGCGAAAGCGUUCCUGGAAAUCUCAGCCCAAAAAAGGACGUUUAGUAAUUCUAAAAGGGACUACAGAAUGAAAAACAAUAGUUUUGGCAGUUAAAGUUUGAGAUUCGAUGGUGCCGUAGAUCCGUUUGGUCAUCAGGUGUAACGAGCCACACCCAUGUCUAGCUAGAGUAGUGUGCUAGGCUCAGGCUAGAGAAGAAACGGGGAACAAACUGAUGAAAGAAUGAUCAUACCGAGGGAAUUCACUCAGAACUAACAAGAAUGAUAACGUGCUCCGACUGGAGCGGUUUAGGAACUGCUGGAAGGCUCUAGGGGAAGAAAGAAGGAAUGACUUCUAAUUUUUAGGUCCGUAUGAUUUGAAAUACGUGCACACAAACCGCGCGAAAGCGUUCCUGGAAAUCUCAGCCCAAAAAAGGACGUUUAGUAUUCUAAAAGGGACUACAGAAUGAAAAACAAUAGUUUUGGCAGUUAAAGUUUGAGAUUCGACGGUGCCGUAGAUCCGUUUGGUCAUCAGGUGUUACGAGCCACACCCAUGUCUAGCUAGAAUAGUGUGCNNNNNNNNNNNNNNNNNNNNNNNNNCGUAUGAUUUGAAAUACGUGCACACAAACCGCGCGAAAGCGUUCCUGGAAAUCUCAGCCCAAAAAAGGACGUUUAGUAUUCUAAAAGGGACUACAGAAUGAAAAACAAUAGUUUUGGCAGUUAAAGUUUGAGAUUCGACGGUGCUGUAGAUCCGUUUGGUCAUCAGGUGUUACGAGCCACACCCAUGUCUAGCUAGAAUAGUGUGCUAGGCUCAGGCUAGAGAAGAAAAGGGGAACAAACUAAUGAAAGAAUGAUCAAUACGAGGGAAUUCACUCAGAACUAACAAUAAUGAUAACGUGCUCCGACUGGAGCGGUUUAGGAACUGCUGGAAGGCUCUAGGCGAAUAAAGAUGGAAUGACUUCUAAUUUUUACGUCCGUAUGAUUUGAAAUACUUGCACACAAACCACGCAAAAGCGUUCCUGGAAAUCUCGGCCUAAAAAGGACGUUUAGUAAUUCUAAAAGGGACUACAGGAUGAAAAAUAAUAGUUUGGGCAGUUAAAAUUUGAGAUUCGACGGUGCCGUAGAUCCGUUUGGUCAUCAGGUGUUACGAGCCACACCCAUGUCUAGCUAGAAUAGUGUGUUAGGCUCAGGCUAGAGAAGAAACGAGGAACAAACUGAUGAAAGAAUGAUCAUACCAAGGGAAUUCACUCAGAACUAACAAGAAUGAUAACGUGCUCCGACUGGAGCAGUUUAGAAACUGCUGGAAGGCUCUAGGGGAAUAAAGAUGGAAUGACUUCUGAUUUUUAGGUCCGUAUGAUUUGAAAUACGUGCACACAAACCCCGCGAAAGCGUUCCUGGAAAUCUCAGCCCAAAAAAGGACGUUUAGUAAUUCUAAAAGGGACUACAACAUGAAAAACAAUAGUUUUGGCAGUUAAAGUUUGAGAUUUCAUGGUGCCGUAGAUCUGUUUGGUCAUCAGGUGUUACGAGCCACACCCAUGUCUAGCUAGAAUAGUGUGUUAGGCUCAGGCUAGAAAAGAAACGGGAAACAAAGUGAUGAAAGAAUGACCAUACCGAGGGAAUUCACUCAGAACUAACAAGAAUGAUAACAUGCUCCGACUUGAGCGGUUUAGGAACUGCUGGAAGGCUCUAGGGGAAUAAAGAUGGAAUGACUUCUAAUGUUUAGGUCCGUAUGAUUUGAAAUACUUGCACAUAAACCGCACAAAAGCGUUCCUGGAAAUCUCAGCCCAAAAAAGGACGUUUAGUAAUUCUAAAAGGGACUACAGGAUGAAAAACAAUAGUUUUGGCAGUUAAAGUUUGAGAUUCGACGGUGCCGUAGAUCCGUUUGGUCAUCAGGUGUUACGAGCCACACCCAUGUCUAGCUAGAAUAGUGUGUUAGGCUCAGGCUAGAGAAGAAACUUGGAACAAACUGAUGAAAGAAUGAUCAAACCAACGGAAUUCACUCAGAACUAACAAUAAUGAUAACGUGCUCCGACUGGAGCAGUUUAGGAACUGCUGGAAGGCUCUAGGGGAAUAAAGAUGGAAUGACUUCUAAUUUUUAGGUCCGUAUGAUUUGAAAUACUUGCACGCAAACCGCGCGAAAGCGUUCCUGGAAAUAUCAGCCCAAAAAAGGACGUUUAGUAAUUCUAAAAGGGACUACAGGAUGAAAACAAUAGUUUUGGCAGUUAAAGUUUGAGAUUCAACAGUGCCGUAGAUCCGUUUGGUCAUCAGGUGUUAUGAGCCAUACCCAUGUCUAGCUAGAGUAGUGUGCUAGGCUCAGGCUAGAGAAGAAACAGGGAACAAACUGAUGAAAGAAUGAUCAUACCGAGGGAAUUCACUCAGAACUAACAAGAAUGAUAACGUGCUCCGACUGGAGCGGUUUAGGAACUGCUGGAAGGCUCUAGGGGAAUAAAGAUGGAGUGACUUCUAAAUUUUUAGGUCCGUAUGAUUUAAAAUACUUGCACACAAACCGCACGAAAGCGUUCCUUGAAAUCUCAGCCCAAAAAAGGACGUUUAGUAAGUCUAAAAGGGACUAUAGGAUGAAAAACAAUAGUUUUGGCAGUUAAAGUUUGAGAUUCGAUGGUGCCGUAGAUCUGUUUGGUCAUCAGGUGUUACGAGCCACACCCAUGUCUAGUUGGAAUAGUGUGCUAGGCUCAGACUAGAGAAGAAACAGGGAACAAACUGAUGAAAGAAUGAUCAAACCGAGGAAAUUCACUCAGAACUAACAAUAAUGAUAACAUGCUCCGACUGGAGCGGUUUAGGAACUGCUGGAAGGCUCUAGGGGAAUAAAGAUGGAAUGACUUCUAAAUUUUUAGGUCCGUAUGAUUUGAAAUAGUUGCACACAAACUGCGCGAAAGCGUUCCUGGAAAUCUCAGCCCAAAAAAGGACGUUUAGUAAUUCUAAAAGGGACUAUAGGAUGAAAAACAAUAGUUUUGGCAGUUAAAGUUUGAGAUUCGACGGUGCCGUAGAUCCGUUUGGUCAUCACGUGUUACAAGCCACACCCAUGUCUAGCUAGAGUAGUGUGCUAGGCUCAGACUAUAGAAGAAACGGGGACCAAACUGAUGAAAGAAUGAUCAAACCGAGGAAAUUCACUCAGAACUAACAAUAAUGAUAACAUGCUCCGACUGGAGCGGUUUAGGAACUACUGGAAGGCUCUAGGGGAAUAAAGAUGGAAUGACUUCUAAAUUUUUAGGUCCGUAUGAUUUUAAAUAGUUGCACACAAACUGCGCGAAAGCGUUCCUGGAAAUCUCAGCCCAAAAAAGGACGUUUAGUAAUUCUAAAAGGGACUACAGGAUGAAAAACAAUAGUUUGGGCAGUUAAAAUUUGAGAUUCGACGGUGCCGUAGAUCCGUUUGGUCAUCAGGUGUUACGAGCCACACCCAUGUCUAGCUAGAGUAGUGUGCUAGGCUCAGGCUAGAGAAGAAACAGGGAACAAACUGAUGAAAGAAUGAUCAUACCGAGGGAAUUCACUCAGAACUAACAAGAAUGAUAACGUGCUCUGACUGGAGCGGUUUAAGAACUGUUGGAAGGCUCUAGGGGAAUAAAGAUGGAAUCACUUCAAAUUUUUACGUCCGUGUGAUUUGAAAUACUUGCACACAAACCGCACGAAAGCGUUCCUGGAAAUCUCAGCCCAAAAAAGGACGUUUAGUAAGUCUAAAAGGGACUACACGAUGAAAAACAAUAGUUUUGGCAGUUAAAGUUUGAGAUUCGACAGUGCCGUAGAUCCGUUUGGUCAUCAGGUGUAACGAGCCACACCCAUGUCUAGAUAGAGUAGUGUGCUAGGCUCAAACUAGAGAAGAAACGGGGAACAAACUGAUGAAAGAAUGAUCAUACCGAGGGAAUUCACUCAGAAAUAACAAGAAUGAUAACGUGCUCUGACUGGAGCGGUUUAGGAACUGCUGGAAGGCUCUAGGGGAAUAAAGAAGGAAUGACUUCUAAUUUUUAGGUCCGUAUGAUUUGAAAUACGUGCACACAAACCCCGAGAAAGCGUUCCUGGAAAUCUCGACCCAAAAAAGGACGUUUAGUAAUUCUAAAAGGGACUACGGGAUGAAAAACAAUAGUUUUGGCAGUUAAAGUUUGAGAUUCGAUAAUGCCGUAGAUCCAUUUGGUCAUCAGGUGUAACGAGCCACACCCAUGUCUAGCUAGAGUAGUGUGCUAGGCUCAGACUAGAGAAGAAACAGGGAACAAACUGAUGAAAGAAUGAUCAUAUCGAGGGAAUUCACUCAGAACUAACAAGAAUGAUAACAUGCUCCGACUUGAGCGGUUUAGGAACUGCUGGAAGGCUCUAGGGGAAUAAAGAUGGAAUGACUUCUAAUUUUUAGGUCCGUAUGAUUUGAAAUACUUACACACAAACCACGCGAAAGCGUUCCUGGAAAUCUCAGCCCAAAAAAGGACGUUUAGUAAUUCUAAAAGGGACUACAUGAUGAAAAACAAUAGUUUUCGCAGUUAAAGUUUGAGAUUCGACGGUGCCGUAGAUCCGUUUGGUCAUCAAGUGUUACGAGCCACACCCAUGUCUAGCUAGAAUAGUGUGUUAGGCUCAGCCUAGAGAAGAAACGGGGAACAAACUGAUGAAAGAAUGAUCAUACCGAGGGAAUUCACUCAGAACUUACAAGAAUGAUAACGUGCUCCGACUUGAGCGGUUUAAGAACUGUUGGAAGGCUCUAGGGGAAUAAAGAUGGAAUCACUUCAAAUUUUUACGUCCGUGUGAUUUGAAAUACUUGCACACAAACCCCGAGAAAGCGUUCCUGGAAAUCUCGGCCGAAAAAAGGAUGUUUAAUAAUUCUAAAAGGGACUACAGGAUGAAAAACAAUAGCUUUGGCAGUUAAAGUUUGUGAUUCGAUGGUGCCGUAGAUCUGUUUGGUCAUCAGGUGUUAUGAGCCACACCCAUGUCUAGCUAGAAUAGUGUGUUAGGCUCAGGCUAGAGCAGAAACUAGGAACAAACUUAUGAAAGAAUGAUCAUACCGAGGGAAUUCACUCAGAACUAACAAGAAUGAUAACGUGCUCCGACUGGAGCGGUUUAGGAACUGCUGGAAGGCUCUAGGGGAAUAAAGAUGGAAUGACUUCUAAUUUUUAGGUCCGUAUGAUUUGAAAUACAUGCACACAAACCCCAAGAAAGCGUUCCUAGAAAUCUCAGCCCAAAAAGGACGUUUAGUAAUUCUAAAAGGGACUACAGGAUGAAAAACAAUAGGUUUGGCAGUUAAAGUUUGAGAUUCGAUAAUGCCGUAGAUCCGUUUGGUCAUCAGGUGUAACGAGCCACACCCAUGUCUAGCUACAUUAGUGUGCUAGGCUCAGACUAGAGAAGAAACGGGGAACAAACUGAUGAAAGAAUGAUCAUACCGAGGGAAUUCACUCAGAACUAACAAGAACGAUAACAUGCUCCGACUGCAGCGGUUUAGGAACUGCUGGAAGGCUCUAGGGGAAUAAAGAAGGAAUGACUUCUAAUUUUUAGGUCCGUAUGAUUUGAAAUACUUGCACACAAACCGCGCGAAAGCAUUCCUGGAAAUCUCAGCCCAAAAAAGGACGUUUAGUAAUUCUAAAAGGGACUACAGGAUGAAAAACAAUAAUUUUGGCAGUUAAAGUUUGAGAUUCGACGGUGCCGUAGAUCCGUUUGGUCAUCAGGUGUUACGGGCCAUACCCAUGUCUAGCUAGAAUAGUGUGUUAGGCUCAGGUUAGAGAAGAAACGGGGAACAAAGUGAUGAAAGAAUGAUCAUACCGAGGGAAUUCACUCAGAACUAACAAGAAUGAUAACGUGCUCCGACUGGAGCGGUUUAGGAAUUGCUGGAAGGCUCUAGGGGAAUAAAGAUGGAAUGACUUCUAUAUUUUACGUCCGUAUGAUUUGAAAUACUUGCACACAAACCACGCAAAAGCACUCCUGGAAAUAUCAGCCUAAAAAGGAUGUUUAGUAAUUCUAAAAGGGACUACAGGAUGAAAAAUAAUAGUUUUGGCAGUUAAAAUUUGAGAUUCAACGGUGCCGUAAAUCCGUUUGGUCAUCAGGUGUUACGAGCCACACCCAUGUCUAGCUAGAAUAGUGUGUUAGGCUCAGGUUAGAGAAGAAACGGGGAACAAACUGAUGAAAGAAUGAUCAUACAAGGGGAAUUCACUCAGAACUAUCAAGAAUGAUAACGUGCUCCGACUGGAGCAGUUUAGGAACUGCCGGAAGGCUCUAGGGGAAUAAAGAUGGAAUGACUUCUAAUUUUUAUGUCCGUAUGAUUUGAAAUACUUGCACACAAACCACGCAAAAGCGUUCCUGGAAAUCUCAGCCUAAAAAGGACGUUUAGUAAUUCUAAAAGGGACUACAGGAUGAAAAACAAUAGUUUGGGCAGUUAAAAUUCGAGAUUCGACGGUGCCGUAGAUCCGUUUGGUCAUCAGGUGUUACGAGCCACACCCAUGUCUAGCUAGAAUAGUGUGUUAGGCUCAGGCUAGAGAAGAAACGGGGAACAAACUGAUGAAAGAAUGAUCAUAUCGAGGGAAUUCACUCAGAACUAACAAGAAUGAUAACGUGCUCCGACUGGAGCGGUUUAGUAACUGCUGGAAGGCUCUAGGGGAAUAAAGAUGGAAUGACUUCUAAUUAUUAGGUCCGUAAGAUUUGAAUUACAUGCACACAAACCCCGAGAAAGCGUUCCUGGAAAUCUCGGUCGAAAAAAGGAUGUUUAGUAAUUCUAAAAGGGACUACAGGAUGAAAAACAAUAGUUUUGGCAGUUAAAGUUUGUGAUUCGAUGGUGCCGUAGAUCUGUUUGGUCAUCAGGUGUUACGAGCCACACCCAUGUCUAGCUAGAAUAGUGUGUUAGGCUCAGGCUAGAGCAGAAACGGGGAACAAACUUAUGAAAGAAUGAUCAUGCCGAGGGAAUUCACUCAGAACUAACAAGAAUGAUAACGUGCUCCGACUGGAGCGGUUUAGGAACUGCUGGAAGGCUCUAGGGGAAUAAAGAUGGAAUGACAUCAAAUUUUUAGGUCCGUAUGAUUUGAAAUACUUGCACACAAACCGCAAGAAAGCGUUCUUGGAAAUCUCCGCCCAAAAAAGGACGUUUAGUAAUUCUAAAAGGGUCUACAGGAUGAAAAACAAUAGUUCUGGCAGUUAAAGUUUGAGAUUCGAUAAUGUCGUAGAUCCGUUUGGUCAUCAGGCGUAACGAGCCACACCCAUUUCUAGCUAGAGUAGUGUGCUAGGCUCAGACUAGAGAAGAAACGGGGAACAACCUGAUGAAAGAAUGAUCAUACCGAGGGAAUUCACUCAGAACUAACAAGAAUGAUAACGUGCUCCGACUGGAGCGGUUUAGGAACUGCUGGAAGGCUCUACGGGAAUAAAGAAGGAAUGACUUCUAAUUUUUAGGUCCGUAUGAUUUGAAAUACGUGCACACAAACCCCGAGAAAGCGUUCCUGGAAAUCUCGGCCCAAAAAAGGACGUUUAGUAUUCUAAAAGCGACUACAGAAUGAAAAACAAUAGUUUUGGUAGUUAAAGUUUGAGAUUUAACGGUGCCGUAGAUCUGUUUGGUCAUCAGGUGUUACGAGCCACACCCAUGUCUAGCUAGAAUAGUGUGUUAGGCUCAGGCUAGAUAAGAAACAGGGAACAAAGUGAUGAAAGAAUGAUCAUACCAAGGGAAUUCACUCAGAACUAACAAGAACGAUAACAUGCUCCGACUGGAGUGGUUUAGGAACUGCUGGAAGGCUCUAGGGGAAUAAAGAUGGAAUGACUUCUAAUUUUUAGGUCUGUAUGAUUUGAAAUACUUGCACACAAACCGCACGAAAGCGUUCCUGGAAAUCUCAUCCCAAAAAAGGACGUUUAGUAAUUCUAAAAGGGACUACAGGAUGAAAAACAAUAGUUUUGGCAGUUAAAGUUUGAGAUUCGAUAAUGCUGUAGAUCCGUUUGGUCAUCAGGUGUAACGAGCCACACCCAUGUCUAGCUAGAGUAGUGUGCUAGGCUCAGACUAGAGAAGAAACGGGGAACAAACUGAUGAAAGAAUGAUCAUACCGAGGGAAUUCACUCAGAACUAACAAUAAUGAUAACGUGCUCCGACUGGAGCGGUUUAGGAACUGCUGGAAGGCUCUAGGGGAAUAAAGAUGGAAUGAGUUCUAAUUUUUAGGUCUGUAUGAUUUGAAAUACUUGCACACAAACCGCGUGAAAGCAUUCCUGGAAAUUUCAGCCCAAAAAAGGACGUUUAGUAAUUUUAAAAGGGACUACACGAUGAAAAACAAUAGUUUUGGCAGUUAAAGUUUGAGAUUCGACGGUGCCGUAGAUCCGUUUGGUCAUCAGGUGUUACGAGCCACACCCAUGUCUAGCUAGAAUAGUAUGUUAGGCUCGGGUAAGAGAAGAAACGGGGAACAAACUGAUGAAAGAAUGAUCAUACCAAGGGAAUUCACUCAGAACUAACAAGAAUGAUAACGUGCUCCGACUGGAGCGGUUUAGGAACUGCUGGAAGGCUCUAGGGGAAUAAAGAUGGAAUGACUUCUAAUUUUUACGUUCGUAUGAUUUGAAAUACUUGCACACAAACCACGCAAAAGCGUUCCUGGAAAUCUCAUCCUAAAAAAGGACGUUUAGUAAUUCUAAAAGGGACUACAGGAUGAAAAAUAAUAGUUUGGGCAGUUAAAAUUUGAGAUUCGACGGUGCCGUAGAUCCGUUUGGUCAUCAGGUGUUACGAGCCACACCCAUGUCUAGCUAGAAUAGUGUGUUAGGCUCAGGCUAGAGAAGAAACGGGGAACAAACUGAUGAAAGAAUGAUCAUAUCGAGGGAAUUCACUCAGAACUAACAAGAAUGAUAACGUGCUCCGACUGGAGCAGUUUAGAAACUGCUGGAAGGCUCUAGGGGAAUAAAGAUGGAAUGACUUCUAAUUUUUAGGUCUGUAUGAUUUGAAAUACGUGCACACGAACCCCGAGAAAGCGUUCCUGGAAAUCUCGGCCCAAAAAAGGACGUUUAGUAAUUCUAAAAGGGACUACAGGAUGAAAAACAAUAGUUUUGGCAGUUAAAGUUUGAGAUUCGACGGUGCCGUAGAUCCGUUUGUUCAUCAGGUGUUACGAGCCACACCCAUGUCUAGCUAGAAUAGUGUGUUAGGCUCAGGCUAGAGAAGAAACGGGGAACAAACUGAUGAAAGAAUGAUCAUACCGAGGGAAUUCACUCAGAACUAACAAGAAUGAUAACGUGCUCCGACUGGAGCGGUUUAGGAACUGCUAGAAGGCUCUAGGGGAAUAAAGAAGGAAUGACUUCUAAUUUUUAGGUCCGUAUGAUUUGAAAUACGUGCACACAAACCCCGAGAAAGCGUUCCUGGAAAUCUUGGCCCAAAAAAGGACGUUUAGUAUUCUAAAAGCGACUACAGAAUGAAAAACAAUAGUUUUGCUAGUUAAAGUUUGAGAUUUGAUGGUGCCGUAGAUCUGUUUGGUCAUCAGGUUUUACGAGCCACACCCAUGUCUAGCUAGAAUAGUGUGUUAGGCUCAGGCUAGAAAAGAAACAGGGAAUAAAGUGAUGAAAGAAUGAUCAUACCAAGGGAAUUCACUCAGAACUAACAAGAACGAUAACAUGCUCCGACUGGAGUGGUUUAGAACUGCUGGAAGGCUAAAGGGGAAUAAAGAUGGAAUGACUUCUAAUUUUUAGGUCCGUAUGAUUUGAAAUACUUGCACACAAACCGCACGAAAGUGUUCCUGGAAAUCUCAGCCCAAAAAAGGACGUUUAGUAAUUCUAAAAGGGACUACAGGAUGAAAAACAAUAGUUUUGGCAGUUAAAGUUUGAGAUUCGAUAAUGACGUAGAUCCGUUUGGUCAUCAGGUGUAACGAGCCACACCCAUGUCUAGCUAGAGUAGUGUGCUAGGCUCAGACUAGAGAAGAAACGGGGAACAAACUGAUGAAAGAAUGAUCAUACCGAGGGAAUUCACUCAGAACUAACAAUAAUGAUAACGUGCUCCGACUAGAGCGGUUUAGGAACUGCUGGAAGGCUCUAGGGGAAUAAAGAUGGAAUGACUUCUAAUUUUUAGGUCCCUAUGAUUUGAAAUACUUGCACACAAACCGCGUGAAAGCAUUCCUGGAAAUUUCAGCCCAAAAAAGGACGUUUAGUAAUUUUAAAAGGGACUACACGAUGAAAAAGAAUAGUUUUGGCAGUUAAAGUUUGAGAUUCGACGGUGCCGUAGAUCCGUUUGGUCAUCAGGUGUUACGAGACACACCCAUGUCUAGCUAGAAUAGUAUGUUAGGCUC
Molecule: long non-coding RNA, 27358 nt
Filed under: Triticum aestivum (bread wheat)
Lineage: Eukaryota; Viridiplantae; Streptophyta; Magnoliopsida; Poales; Poaceae
Description: long non-coding RNA (TAES_LNC019907)
Source: RNAcentral